This is a long non-coding RNA of Cherax quadricarinatus, 617 nucleotides long. RefSeq lists it as uncharacterized. NCBI's taxonomy places the organism in Eukaryota, Metazoa, Arthropoda, Malacostraca, Decapoda, Parastacidae. The record is from RefSeq and is a predicted model, not a curated record.
AUUCACUUUAAAAUUUCUGCCUUUACACACCCUGGUGCUUAUCUGUUGUUUAAUCACAGAACUCCAACAAGAUGCCCGGCCUGGAGCACGAUUCUUUUGACUGCCUGUUCAACCCAGCUGUUGCUGUUGGUGACCUGCAGGCCAACAGAUCCAUCAUGGCCUGACUGAUGAGGCACUUGGAGAAAGCAGUAAUCAUUUUUGUCUUGAAAAUUAAUGGACAGCUACAUAACUAACAUUAUAAUUAUACUAGAAAUGUACCUGCCUCAGUGGGAGAAGGCCAAUGUGUUGAAAAAUAAAAAUACACCAAAAUGCACACAUACCACAUGUGUAGCCUGCUGGUCAUCAAGAGUGCUUGCAAGCCAGCGUCGGUCCCAUAAUACUACACCAAAAUCCUAGCGGCUUCCAGUCUUGCAGGAGAUAGCAGUGUUUCUACUUCAUCUGCGAGGCUGCCAACUAAACAAAUACGUGGAUCAGCACCCGAUUCUGUAUCAACUUGGCUUACUGACGUCACAUCUGUGGAAAGUGGAAAUUAUAUAUACAAUAAUGUUUGUUAAACAAGUACUGUUCACACAAAAUGUACUGUAUUAAUUAAAAAUAUAACUUUGAACUGACUGCAA